Molecule: ribosomal RNA, 490 nt
Filed under: uncultured bacterium
Lineage: Bacteria
Description: partial 16S ribosomal RNA
Rfam family: Bacterial small subunit ribosomal RNA
Source: RNAcentral
GAUGAACGCUAGCUACAGGCUUAACACAUGCAAGUCGCGGGGCAGCAUGGGGGUUGCUUGCAACUCCCGAUGGCGACCGGCGCACGGGUGAGUAACGCGCAUCCAACCUGCCCUUCACCACGGGAUAACCCGGCGAAAGUCGGACUAAUACCGUAUGUUGUCCAUUGACGGCAUCCGAUUUGGACGAAAGGCUUUGCGGUGAAGGAUGGGGAUGCGUCCGAUUAGCCAGACGGCGGGGUAACGGCCCACCGUGGCUACGAUCGGUAGGGGUUCUGAGAGGAAGGUCCCCCACACUGGAACUGAGACACGGUCCAGACUCCUACGGGAGGCAGCAGUGAGGAAUAUUGAUCAAUGGGCGUAAGCCUGAACCAGCCAAGUAGCGUGCAGGAUGACGGCCCUAUGGGUUGUAAACUGCUUUUAUGCGGGGAUAAAGUGGCCCACGUGUGGGCUUUUGCAGGUACCGCAUGAAUAAGGACCGGCUAAUUACGUG